CACCGCGCCCCUCGCGGCGCCGCUCCCAAACUCGCGGGGAGCCUCGCCUCGAGCUAAAACAGCUGAUUUAACUUAAGCUUAAUUGAAUUGCACUAAAUUAAAUUAAACCGGGGGUCUGUUCCCGCCGCGGCGUGAGCGCCUCUCCUCGCGAGAGGUCGCCCCCGGCAACGCCGCGGCCAUGGCGGAGGCGGCCGGCUCUGAGGCGGCGUUCUGCCUGCAGAACAUUACCAUAACAGAUGAUUCUAAAGAUGAUUAUCAGUGUGAAGAGGUUUCUGCAGAUGAUGAAUUUAGUCUUCAGGAGGAGGAUGAGGAUCUGUCCAAGGCUUUACAGGCUGUUCAAGAGCAGGCUGAAGAUGCUCAAAUUUUAACUUCAGAAUCAGUUCUGACUUUGGAGAAAUCAGUGUGUGAAGUACCUGAAGCAAUGGAUGAUUUCUUCUGCAAUUUCCUGGUCAGACUGGGAAUGUCCAGAACCCUUGACUGCUUCCAAACUGAAUGGUAUGAACUCAUAGAGAGGGGUGUGCUCACGCUCAAAGAUGCUGGGUUGGUUCCAACUGUGUACACCCACAACCAGCAACUGCAGGCUGAGAAUAUGAGUUUGAAGAAAGAUUUGGAAAACUACAAACUUGCUGCCAAUAAAACAAAAGAGGCUCUCCUGAAAAUGCAGAAAGAACGAGACUUCCAUCGGAUGCACCAUAGGCGAGUGGUCCAGGAGAAGAACAGACUGAUUUGUGAUAUGAAAAGGCUGAAGGCACAUUAUGCAUCCUAUGAGCCAGUGCUGAAGCAGCUGUCUGAGAAAUAUGAGACUAUGCUGAAGCAGAAGAUGUUAACUAGUUUGGAGAGAGACAAAGCAGUGGGGCAGGUUACAGGUUUGCAGGCUGUGUUAGAAAAUUUAGACUCCGGAGGUGUUAAGCAGAUUUCUGAGGCAAAAGUCCACGAUUGUACAAGGAAGAAAGACUUUGAAGGUCCCACCCAGAAAGCUCUUCGGGAAGCCAGGCAGCAGAAAAUCAUUGUUGCUGCAAGUUCUUCAUCUGAUCCAGUCAAAGAUGCAGAGAAGAAGAUGGACAAGAGAGACCUGAAGUUCAGCUUAAGUAAUUCAUGGAUGAAACUAGAUCCCUUUCAAAUUACUGAAUUGUGAUUGAAAUAUGAAAUAAGCACUCAGACCCCUGAAAUCUGGAAGGAAAGGCUCAGUAACCCAAGUGAAACCUCUGCCAGCAGGGAGUCUGAGGUGGGACAGAUGUGUGCUGGAAACCAGCCUGUAGUGAUGGAUCUACAAGGUGGGGUUUGUGCCAGGGGAACAGAAAUAAUUUCAGCAUCAUAUUUAGACAAUGAAGGUAAAUCAAAUCUGCUGCCACUAAAUGCAACCCCUUUGUAAAGCACAACUGCUAAACAGUUUUAUGGACACAUCGGGAAUCUUUUCAUAUUGCAAAUUCAUGUUUAUUUAAGUGCAAGCUAAUGUCUUAAUGUGGCCAUGAUCUGAGAUUGGUUUUGGGGACAAAAAGCACAAUAUAUUAUUUGUACUGUAGUGGUUUUCCUUUCAGUCAUUCUCUCUUCCCUAGCAGCUCCCCUUCUCUUCCCUUCUUCUGCUGUUUUUGUAAAUACUCUAAAUAAUUUCAACUAAGGUGCUGAAUUACAAAGUUUGAAAACACAAGUUUGAAAGCCUAGUUGUAGAAUUCUGUUACUCAACACACAGGCCAAAUAAUGUUGAAGUAAUGUCAGAUUACCAGAUACUCAGUGGACAGUUUCAGUUUGCACAUCUUUGUAUACUUUGCAACAUAUUUCUGUAUUUAUGUUUACAAGUUUUUAUCCUCUUUUGUGUAUAUAGCUCAGGUAACGUGCUGUACGUUUUAAAUGAUCCAAAGCAGAUCAGCCAGUCAGACAUCUGAAACUGCUUCUGUUUUUGCAGGAAUGCUUCACUCGUGGUAGAAAGCAAACCUCCCCAGUGUUUGUGUAGCACCUGUAAAGAAAUUGUUCUCUCGAAGCAGUACAGCAAAAACUGAGAUUUACUGUGAUGUAAAUCUAUCAAGAGUUGAUUUCCACAAAUAGCUUGAAAAAUAAAGGAACAGAUAAACAAAAAGACUGCAAGAUCACUGUACGCUAACAAAAAAUUUAGUCAUGUUCCAGUGGUACUUGUUAGUGUGAAAAUGUUGCCCUAUGUUUCCACACUUCUGGUAUACAAUAACUAUAAUUAAAAAAAAAUUCUGUUUAAAUUACUUAUGUAGAUAAUUUAGGAACAAUGCAUAUAGCUGUGAUGUCUCUCUGCCUUUUAUAUGUGUAUUUUUCAUGGGCACAGCUUAAGAAAACAGCCUGAAAAGGAUGUUAGUGAUAGUAAAGAAAUUCACAGGCCUCCUUCACACUUCAUGCAAAAAUUGUUCUUGAAUCCAGCAGAUAAAAUAAUCAGAGAGAGCAGCACAUACCCAUGUUAAGGUAAUAGGGAGAAUACCCCAGUGAUGUGUUUCAGAGCAGAUCACAGGGUUGGUGAACAUCAACAUAUUGCCCUUGGUUUUGUGUCAGUAAUAAAAAUAGUGAUGAGGAUGGAGAUGAAAUAAGAUGUAUUUUUACUUCAAAAAUUUUUAUUGGGGGGAGGGAAUCCUCAUUUUGAGUGUAUUGUACUUGGAUUAUUUUAUAUACGGCCAGUUGCUGAGUGAUUGGUUUUGUUCAAACAUAAUAUUAAUUGGAAAGAGAUGUACUCAUGAGUUCCAGGAUAGGCUUUGGCAGCUGUUUCUUCUGCUGCUGUUCUGUUGUUGACUAAACUUUCCUUGUACUGAUCUUGUUCCUCCAGGUUCUCCUCUGUUUUCAAACUAAUAGUUCAUGACCAAUUUUUGCCUGUCACCACAGCUUUGAAGGAGCAGGGAGGGGAGGGGCUUGCUUUGAUCUCAAAAAUCCACCCAGGCUAAAAUAAUUUUGGAAGUAACAAUGAAGAGGAGCUGAAAGGGCUUUGUUGGCACAAUUGUUUGUUUAUAGAGUUUUGUUUUCUUUUAAUGUAAGACAGCCUAUUAUGUACUAAUUAAGUGGUUUAUAUUUACACAGUUUAUAAAAAGAAUGAGGGGUAGGCUGACAAUAUUUGGAGCACAUUUAAGGAUAAUUGGAUAGGUCCUGUGUUGUAUUUGAUAACUCCUGUAUUGGUUCUAAAAGCACAAACAAACAAGCUAAUACAUUCAUAUAUUCUUAACCUUGGCACUAAGUUAACUGAUUUUUUGGUCUGGGAGUCAUAGCAAGGAGCUCUUUCCAAUCUGUGUAGUUUAUUUCCAUUUUUGUCAGGAUACACACCGAGUAAGCUUCUAGCCACCAUCUGGUGAUGUGUGUGAGUAGACAGCCUCAGUGGCAGUGAAAGAGGCUGGAUGUGCCAAAGCUGGGGCUGGGAGCUUAGUCAGAACAUGCCAACACCUGUGCAGGGGACUGUUCUCAUCAGCUGUGUCAGCGACUCCACAAUGCUUGAGAUUGGCUCCAUUUUAUACCUUUUGGAGUGGUCCUUCUCUGUUUCUUUGGAAUAAGUUUGUUUUCUUAAAUAAUUUAUGAAUGUCAGGGUAGCUUUUAAAUUGGAGAUUUGGAGCUAUAAAUGUUGUUCCUAAUAAUACAAAUCCUGUUUUUAUUACUUUUAAAGGUCUUCUAACUAAUUGAAUUAAUUCAUCAUGAAUUUCCUGUCAGAAGUAUGUUACUGUAAUAAAGGUAAUGGGAGGAAACAAGAAAAGAGUAACCUUUUUGUCUCUCUUUGCAGCCAGAUGUAUCUGAGUGUCACUUUAGUAUGU
RNA transcript from Neopelma chrysocephalum (saffron-crested tyrant-manakin), 3746 nucleotides. It is a transcript of the gene named von Willebrand factor C domain-containing protein 2-like, with no coding region annotated. The transcript has 11 exons. Lineage: Eukaryota; Metazoa; Chordata; Aves; Passeriformes; Pipridae. The record is from RefSeq and is a predicted model, not a curated record.